GUCAGCGUGGCUCAUCGGAAAGAGCACGGGCUUGAGAGUCAGAGGUCAUGGGUUCGAAUCCCAGCUCUGCCA
This 72-nucleotide transfer RNA is filed under the name Ornithorhynchus anatinus (platypus). It matches the Rfam family "tRNA". From Rfam's summary of the family: Transfer RNA (tRNA) molecules are approximately 80 nucleotides in length. Their secondary structure includes four short double-helical elements and three loops (D, anti-codon, and T loops). The record is from Rfam by way of RNAcentral. Lineage: Eukaryota; Metazoa; Chordata; Mammalia; Monotremata; Ornithorhynchidae.